This 483-nucleotide long non-coding RNA is filed under the name Pan troglodytes (chimpanzee). RNAcentral describes it as "long non-coding RNA NONPTRT010943". Lineage: Eukaryota; Metazoa; Chordata; Mammalia; Primates; Hominidae. The record is from RNAcentral.
AGAGAGAAAGGGGAAGAGUUGCAGAGUCUCACCAAAGAAGAGAGACAGAAACAAAAGGCAAAAGGAGAAAGUAAGAGAGAGAUUGGACAGGAACCAAUGAAGCACGAACACCUUCACGCAGCAAUAUAUGCAGACAGGGGUAUAAGUAGAAACAGGAGAAGAAAGGAGAAGCAGGGUGAGGUCUAACCAAAUGGAAACAGGACAGAGCAAGGCUCUACUGGAUCUCAGCUGUGAUCUCGUUUAUCUCCAGAGUCCUGCGAACAAGUUGCUGUCCAAGUGAAUAAUGGGGAUGCUGAAAGGGAGAUGCCCUGCCCGUUGCCCUGUGAUGAAGAAAGCCCAGAGGCAGAGCUACACAACCAUGGAAUCCAAAUUAAUUCCUGUUCUGUGCGACUGGUGGAUAUAAAAAAGGAAAAGCCAUUUUCUAUUUCAAAAGUUGAGUGCCAAGCCCAAGCAAGAACUCAUCAUAACCAGGCAUCUGACAUA